RNAcentral lists this ribosomal RNA (257 nucleotides) under uncultured bacterium. RNAcentral's name for it is "partial 16S ribosomal RNA". It matches the Rfam family "Bacterial small subunit ribosomal RNA", at positions 524 to 776 of the family's 1533-position model. The record is from RNAcentral.
UACGGGGGGGAGCAAGCGUUGUUCGGAUUUACUGGGCGUAAAGGGCGCGUAGGCGGUCGUGACAAGUCACUUGUGAAAUCUCCGGGCUUAACUCGGAACGGUCAAGUGAUACUGUCGGACUAGAGUACAGAAGGGGCAACUGGAAUUCUCGGUGUAGCGGUGAAAAUGCCGUAGAUAUCGAGAGGAACACCUGCGGCGAAGGCGGGUUGCUGGGCUGAUACUGACGCUGAGGCGCGAAAGCCAGGGGAGCGAACGGG